AAGUCGUAACAAGGUCUCCGUAGGUGAACCUGCGGAGGGAUCAUCAUAGGAAGCAUAUUUUGUGAAUUCAUUCACCAAGUUGUGGGGGGUGUGUGGGGGUCAAGGUUUUUGGGGGUUUGCAUACUCUGCAACACUUUCUGGGAGACUUGGCUUUCCUCGCUUUCUGCAGCUUCAUCCAAACGAUCACAACAAUUAUCAGAGAAAUUUGACUUGGUGUGGGGGUGCCGUUUUACCACGGCUCUAGUCAAAAGUGUUUGCCUGACAGAUGAUAUUCUCAAUGCCAUUGAUUUGUGGUGGUGGUUGGGUUGGAAAAUAAUCAAUAUACAACUUUCAACAACGGAUCUCUUGGCUCUCA
RNAcentral lists this unclassified non-coding RNA (355 nucleotides) under fungal sp. RNAcentral's name for it is "partial internal transcribed spacer region". The stretch from base 1 to 46 matches the Rfam family "Eukaryotic small subunit ribosomal RNA", at positions 1786 to 1831 of the family's 1831-position model. Lineage: Eukaryota; Fungi. The record is from RNAcentral.